Long non-coding RNA from Numida meleagris (helmeted guineafowl), 1834 nucleotides. The record is from Ensembl. Lineage: Eukaryota; Metazoa; Chordata; Aves; Galliformes; Numididae.
UGUCUCCUUGUUUCCUGUUCUUAUCAUCCCCCUCUAAAGAAUGAGAAGCCUCAGGAAACAAAAUGGAAGAAAAGAACAAGCAGAUUAAGAAUUUGAACUAAGAUGUUGUCCUUUGGCAAGCAGAUUUCAUCUGUCUUUCCGCAACUGAGCUCAAGGACUUUUCUUACAUCUGAAGUGGAUGUAAGGGGCAUACCUAGAACCCUUGCACUUGUUUUAUGUACACUGAAAUAAUAACAAAAGUUGAAGAAAUAAGAACAAACAUUCACCUAAACAAAAAAUAAAUAUAUCUCACAGCAACGAAGACCAGAAAAGAAAAUCCUUUCCUUCACCCUUAGAAAGCCUCUGCAUAUUAUACUAGAUGGUAUUUAUUUGCACUGGCAGUGCAGACACUGAGCUCCAGAGAAACAGUAGUAAAUAAAAACAAUAAUCAGUGAACUGCAAAAGAGUCUUUUUUCUUUAUUUGAAGCGAUAUUCACAUGAACAAAUAUUUGAAAAAAAAAAUGUAUGCUGUGCCUCAGACAAUAGUUAUAACUGAAGAAAUCUUUGGACUAAUGGAUGAAUAUUAUCUUGACUGUACAGAAGAAUGAGACAGCUACUUCAGUAAAAUAUUCAAGAUGUGUUUUGUGAAUGCACAAAAUGGAUCCCUGUGGAGAUGGAGAAUGGGAUGAAGGCAAAUCAGAAAGACUGAUUAUGCUGAAACCAGCACUACAAAAAGGGAUGCUUGAAAGGACAAGUGAGCUGGCUGGUAGAAGUGAACCCAAGAUGUUUCAUGAGGAGCAGAACUAUCAUCUCCAGGUUUCCUAUGGAUUUCUCCCAUCCCCAGUGUUUUCUUCCUUGUCUCCACUGCGACCCUGUGUGUUUUGCUGAAUUAAAACAGCAGCACAUGUAUAGUUAGAAACUAGCCAUAGUAUGCUGACUUACUGGCUGAGCGUUAUCUCUUGAUUACAUAUGAGUCUGAGUUACAAGUUUUUAUUUAAUAGUCUACUCAGCUGAGUUUUAAUGCAACUUGUAAGAAUUUAAUUUAAGGCAAUCCCUUAUGUCAGACUCAAUUGGAUGAGGUUAAUAUAUUAAAAAUUGGAGAGGAGAGCAGUGCCACACCAGGAAGUCAAUCUGACUGAGAGAACAGAGCACCUUACAAGCAUCACAGGGAAGUGUACUCUUCCACAUUAAAACUGCAGCAUAAGGUCUCUGAGAAAUGACAGGUAGUUAGUGGCACCAAUAUUCUGUUAUGUUUCAUUGCUGUGCAACAGAUGGCAGCAGAGAGGUGGUCUGACAAAAUGGUGUCUGAUGUGGAAGUGUGUAUGAAGCAAAGGUGUGUUACUGAAUUCCGCUGUGUGUUUAAAAAAAAAAAAAAAAAAGGCACCCAUGGACAUUAAUCGACACUUGUUGAAGGUUAUGGAGAACUAACAGUGGAUGUGAGCACAGUGAGGCAGUGGGCAGUGUGUUUCAGCAGUGCUGACAGUGAUGCGAAAGAACAGCCAUGUUCUGGAUGGCCAUGAACAGCUGUCACCUCUGCUGGUGUGGGUGUUUACAAGUGUGGCACACAGGCUCUUUAUUGUAUUAGGCGAAUAAUGAAGCACUCGGGUUGUAACGCGGAAGGCCCUUCCCCAUUUCACUUGCUAUUGGUUGGCCUACAGGAGAGGCUGUACUUCUUUGUUUUAAUAACAACGUGAAUGACCACUCUAUAUAUGGCUUUUCAGAAGUGAGUGGACAGAGCGGGAUAUUCAGUAUGAUUGGCCAGGAGCCUGCGUGAGCUUCUGGAACAGUCUAGUAAAAGAUAAGAAAUACUAUAUAGUUCUGUAGCUUUUACCAAUAAACGCCAUUUUGCUGAUCA